AUUCGGAAUGCAGCGGGGUUUAAACUGGUCCCCCUAACAUCGUAAACUUUCAAAGGCUAACAAGGAGCGGAAAACCAACUUAUUGCGGGUAAUGGCGGCUCCGAGGUGACAGUCAUGUGAUUUUGGAGUUUUCACAACAAGAGCAAACUUAAGGCAACUUUCUUCUUGAAAAUGUUGGAGACUGAGACGCAGAUGUUAACAGACAACUCUGCAUGGAAUUGGAGGAUAAGAGUUUAUAACUGAAUGCAUUCUGUCUGGAUUUCUGUAUGGUGACAGAAGGCUUUGAUAAUCAAGACAAUCAAGAAUUGGAGUGGCUAAGAAUCAGAUGGAGACCAAAUGUCAGUUCACAUGGAAUACCAGGGUUUGCAAAGGAGGACAUUGGAACUGGCUUAAGUAUUCAAAUUUCUGAUGGCAGUUGAUGACAGAAGAUGUCAUACUUAGGGAAACAUUAGAUUAAAUUACUUUGAAUGAUAUAAAAACAUCAAACGACAGGGGAAAAAAGAGGACUGCCUAUUUCCGAUAUAUCGAUCUCUUCACAUAGCAACACCCAAAGCACUACCAUCGAAAAAUUAAAAUCAAUAUUUAGGAAGAAAAA
Long non-coding RNA from Saccostrea echinata, 595 nucleotides. RefSeq lists it as uncharacterized. NCBI's taxonomy places the organism in Eukaryota, Metazoa, Mollusca, Bivalvia, Ostreida, Ostreidae. The transcript has 4 exons. The record is from RefSeq and is a predicted model, not a curated record.